Brassica rapa (field mustard) is the source of this 2440-nucleotide long non-coding RNA. RefSeq lists it as uncharacterized. The record is from RefSeq and is a predicted model, not a curated record. NCBI's taxonomy places the organism in Eukaryota, Viridiplantae, Streptophyta, Magnoliopsida, Brassicales, Brassicaceae.
UUCUGCAGUAGUCUUAAUAAUUGGAUUUGGUCAGAUUUGCGAUCUAAUCACAAUACUAAAAGUAAGAUAUUUUGAAAUUCUAGGCUAUCCACAUCACUAAAAAUAUUCUUCCAAUCACAACAUUUUAUUUUGACACGUCAGAUAGGCUUGAAUCUAAUAUCUUUUUGCCGUCUCCUUUCUUUCAACUUUCGACCUCCCCUAUGUCUUCAACUCUGUCGCUUCCUUACCUUGUAUUUUACAAUCAAAGCAUUAGCUUUGUAUGUAUCUACUCGCGAAACCUCAGAUACUAUAAAUCGGAGAGGUGGAAAAUGGAAUCAAGCAUCACCAACACGCUUUCUCAAUUUAUUUUCUCUCAAAAAUCUAAAAUCCUCUUUUGAAAUACUUCCGUCUGAUGCUGUCGUUGGUCGCCUCCCCUUCCUUUUCUUGGACUCGCGAAACAUCAAGCAAAAUGAAAAUUUAUGGAAUCACUCUCCUUAUCCUUGCAGAAAAGGUAUUGUCGUCUUAUACUAUCGAGCAUCAUAUUUUUCGAUCACUGUUUUUUUUUUUUGAAAGACAUGAUUUUACUCUUCCAACAGAAUUUAGUGAUCCACAGAUCCAUUCCUGCUAUAGAUGAAAUUUAGAACAAUGAUUAGGAAGUUUGACAUCUUCAAUCUCUUGCAAACACGAACUCAAAACUGCCUGUUUUUUCAUUUACGUUUGCUAAUUUAUAUUUUAGAAAUUUAUAUAUAAUUUCGUUAUUAAUUGUGAAGCUCUUUAUCAAAUGGCAAAUCUUGGCCAAAUUCGUCAUGUGCAAGGUUCUGACCUUAAGAACGGUGAAGCAAUGACUAGACUUGUGGUCUAUUUCCUCACUAGGAGUUUUGCAUAAGAGGAGUAAUAUGUGGAAGAGAGUCAGAGUGAAAGAGAGAUAAUUGUUUCCCAUUCGGUUUUGUUUUUGUCUUAUAGUCUGGUCUUCUCUACAGCUCUGUCACAAACUAAAGUGUUCAAUCAAGACAGGUCAGUCCCUAAUUUAAACAUCUUCUCAUGUUUUUGGUAUUUCUUACUUAAGAAAAAUAUAUCUGACCACUUUCCCUUCCAAAAAAGUUGGAUGACUUUUUGAUUUCAGUUGUGCCGUGAGAUUUCAGUUUUGGGGUUUCUAAACUUGGUUGGAUCUCCUAAGAAAAAGCUGUUUAGAAUUGAUUACGAGAUAUAAACCCUGCAAACAAGAAAGAGUGAAGACAAUGGGCAGAGAAGAAGAGAAUCAAAGUCUUAAGUGAAAGAGAAAGAAAAAGAAAAAGUUAACUUAGAGUCAAAGAAGGAGGCAACCUUGCAUUACAUCUCUAAAGAGUCGUUAGUCAUCUUAAGAGAAUGUGAGACAAGCAAGUGGAUCAUUGCAGCAAGGGAAAAGCAUGAUUGUGGCGGGUUUUGCUGAGGCGAAGAAGGAUCAUGGUUACGAACUGAUUCAAAAGUUGGAAGCUGGUGUGCAAGAUAUGCGACAGAUUGUCGAAGAUUGGAAGAGAGAUGUGGUUGCUCCUAAAGAGAAAGAGAUUCUCCAAUAUGUUGGUGGAUGAGUUUACUCAAAGGUGUAAUGCAUGAGAGAUAAAAAAAAAACCAAUAUGGUUUUGGAUUAGUAAGGAAGCUGAUAUAUUUGCUCAUUUAGACCCUUCUUGAUGACUGCAGCUGAGAUCUUCCUGUCCUGUGGCGCUCUGCAGAAUAGAAGAGGACAUGGUCGAUGGCUUCCCUUAUGAAGUCCCUGCAGAGUAUAUAAACAUGCAUCUUAUCAAGGGAAGAGCCACUGUGUACAUGAAUGUCAAGAUCAAGGACAACCCCCAACCUUGAGGAUUGUGUUUUCUGCAGUGUCCUCGAUGGCUAUAACGCCCCUGUUACCGCCGGAAACUUUGUGGACUUGGUGGAGCGCCAUUUCUACGAUGGCAUGGAGAUCCAGAGAUGUAAGACAUCAAACUUUCCCCACAAUAUAUAUUCAAAUUAUAUGUAAUGCAGAACAGGAGUUUGAGAAUGACCAGGAUCGAGCCAAGUGUUUUUGGUGCUGAAAGUGAGUGAGCUGACGCCAAGCAAUUCCAACAUCUUGGACGGUCGUUACGCUAUCUUCGGCUACGUUACUCAAAAUGAAGAUUUUAUGGCUGUUAAAGUUGGUGAUGUCAUUAAGUCCAUUCAAGUUGUCUCAGGUUGAGAAGAACAUGUUCUUGCACAAGAGAAAACUGAAAACAGAGUAUACGAAUAAAAAGAAAUAGACAAAUCUGAAUAGUUUAACAGAAGCUAUCCCACUAACGACAACAAGACAAGGUUUUUUUUUGCUCUUUGGAGUUUAAGAGUUUUAAUUAGCCAAAAGAUAAAAAAAAAAACAUGUUAUUUGCAUUUGUGUUAGCACUGACAGGAAAUAUGUUACAAAGCAACAUGUUACUACUUUAUUUGUAUUAGAUAUAUAUUUUAGUGUUUAAUUACU